Rhineura floridana is the source of this 2430-nucleotide long non-coding RNA. RefSeq lists it as uncharacterized. The transcript has 3 exons. NCBI's taxonomy places the organism in Eukaryota, Metazoa, Chordata, Lepidosauria, Squamata, Rhineuridae. The record is from RefSeq and is a predicted model, not a curated record.
GAUACUUGUCUGAUUAUUGUCUAUAAUAGGGGAGUUAUUCCUAAAUCUUCAUUGAGACCUGUGGGGGAUACACACCUCAGCUGGAGGAUCCAAAAACGUUCUUUUCAACAAAACGCUGUUUUGGACUCCAGCUUCAAUCAGCCCCAGGUAGCACGGCAAAUGAUCAGGAUCAUCUGAGGGGGUCACAAGUUUCCCUUCCCUGCUUUAGGUGUAUAAUGUUAAAAUUACAGAGCACUCUGGUUUAAGAUGACUACGGCCAAAUCAGUCACGAUGGGAAUAAUACAUUGAACCAGCCUUUAAAGAAAAUACCCCAAUAGUGUAAUCCUAUGCAUACUUAGAAGCAAGUUCCACUGAGUUCAAAUGGGCUUAUUCUGAAGAAAGUGAACACAGGAUUGUGGCACCUGAAGUGCUUGCCACUGCUUCUGCAGCAAAUGCAGCAGCAAAUCAACACUUGGAGGGAUAUUCUUAUUUUUUCCCUUGCAAAUGGAUGCAAAGGAUACAGUCUAGGCUUGCAGGUUCAGAUGUCACUAGACAAUUUUCCUCUCAUAUUUGCAAACAGAAUCAGGUCUUCCUUCAUCAUACCAAACUGUUUUAUAGCAGCUCAUAUCCCAAGACGAUCUAUUUCUGUUGCUGAUGGGUAAAGAGACAUGUCCACGUGGUGGGAAAACAGAUAUACUAUUCCAGUGUGUUUACUCCCCACAGUACACUUGCACUGGAGGUUUUAGGAUGUGCUCAUCUCAAAACCAGCAAGUAUGUGUGUCUGGCUAAAAUGAAUACAGGAUGAUUGCUGCACGGGUCUGCACUGCUGACUUCCUAUACAGCAAAGCAGGGUCACCUCUCAAGGAUCUUUUUAAGGUUAAAAGGACAUUUUGUGUUUUCUGUUGGACAGUAAAGGACCCAUUAGGAACUCAGGCAAGAAGCGCUUCCAUGUCACGUUUUGAACAGGACUUCUCCUGUACACUUCCAGGAUGCAUGAGAGUGUGCAUCAAAGAGUUGAAGAGAACAAAAGCUACCACAGAUUUUCUUUUUAAGAAAUAUCAAAUUGCAUCUGUGCAUGUUCAUAUCUCAUAUAUACUCCAAGGUCAGCAGUUAUGAGCUGUUAAAAACCAAUCUGACAGCAAUAAAAAAAAUUAGGCUGCACCUUCGCACUUCUGUCAGCCCAGUCCCAGUUUCAGCCCAAGAAUGUGUUAGAAUUACAAAGAACAAAUAAGCAAAGCUUUGCAUCAGUUCAUUAGUUGCCCAGCUUUCCUGCUAAUGAAUCUUGAAUAAACUUUAGAGUGUGCUGGUAGAGAAAAGAGUCCUUGUUCUUCGGUUUGCAAAUAUUCAAGUGGCUAACUUCUACAGGAAUGAGUUCUCCUAUGCCUAAAUCUGAAAAAGAAACAAAAGCCAGCAUCAGUAAAUGUCAAGGAAAGGACACGCAUUAUAAAGAGUAGCAGCCAUCUUUUGAUACUGGUGGAGAUGCACAUUUCCAUUUGGUAUCUGGGGACAACUGGGCAUGAGUAUAAGCAGUGCAUCAGUGCAGUCCAUGCUAUAAGGUAUUUCACACAACCGUAUCUGGGUCAGAGCUAAAUAAAAAUGCUGAUGAGUCAAAAAUUUACUUUAGAACCAGAUUUUAAACAGUGGAUGUUUAUAAGAUAGGUUUUCCUUGAAGAACAAGGGGUAGGGAGUAAACCUUAACAUUUAUAUCAUGGUAAUUCAUGCUUUCAGCACAGAAGGUAUAACUGAGCAAGCUUGAUAUAGUCUUGGAGUUUCCACUUGCAAUUUCUCCUUAAACUUUUUGAGAAAAAGAAAAGAGAGCUUUCCAGUUGCAAAGAUACAUUUAAAAAUAUGGCUAUAUCCCUACACUCUGCAUUCCACUUCAGCAGGGACAAAAGAGAAUCUGUCACGAACUUUUUUUUUUAGGUUAUUAGAAAAUGGAAGACAGUGGGUAACGAGCAAGAGGGGAAGAAACUGUGGAAACAGGUUUCUUUGGGAGCUGGACUGCAAGCAUUGUUGAUCCAUCUCUGUACCAGAUAGAGGUCAAUCAUUCAUUUAUCUGAAAUACUGAUUUUUUCAUACUACAUUGACUAUCUGCAUCUAUUCUGGGAAUUUAUACCACAGAACUCCCAUGGCUAUAUCUUGCCACAUCAGUACAUUUCAAAAAGGGGAAUGCUGAGAAUGUCAGACCUGCAGAUUCCACUGGUACUACAUGCAGGCUCAGCAUUCUACUGACUCGCGUUGGCAAAGUUUCUGCAAAACUCAAUACAGGAAAGUUCUUAUUCUUGGCAAAUGAGAGAAAGUCAUCAUUCAGUACUUUAAGGGCAGGAGAAUCUGGAGGAACAAGACCAAAAAUUAAAUGCAUAUUUCUGAUUGUAUAAAUUGUAAUUAUUCAGGCAAAACGACAUAAAACUUCACUUGUAGUAUUUUCUCAUAGAAGGUGCAUUUGGAAAA